GGACCAAGGAGUCUAGCAUGUGCGCGAGUCAUUGGGACUCUAACGAAACCUAAAGGCGUAAUGAAAGUGAAGGUCCGCCUAGCGCGGGCCGAGGGAGGAUGGGUGUCCCCGAGGGGACGCCUCGCACUCCCAGGGCGUCUCGUUCUCAUUGCGAGAAGAGGCGCACCAAGAGCGUACACGCUGGGACCCGAAAGAUGGUGAACUAUGCCUGGUCAGGACGAAGUCAGGGGAAACCCUGAUGGAGGUCCGUAGCGAUUCUGACGUGCAAAUCGAUCGUCGGAACUGGGUAUAGGGGCGAAAGACUAAUCGAACCAUCUAGUAGCUGGUUCCCUCCGAAGUUUCCCUCAGGAUAGCUGGCGCUCGCUUCUCGCGAGUCUCAUUCGGUAAAGCGAAUGAUUAGAGGCAUUGGGGUCGAAACGGCCUCAACCUAUUCUCAAACUUUAAAUGGGUGAGAUCUCCGGCUUGCUUGAACUGUGAAGCCGCGAGAUAUCGGAUCAGAGUGCCAAGUGGGCCACUUUUGGUAAGCAGAACUGGCGCUGUGGGAUGAACCAAACGCUGAGUUAAAGCGCCUAAAUCGACGCUUAUGGGAUACCAUGAAAGGCGUUGGUAACUUAAGACAGCAGGACGGUGGCCAUGGAAGUCGG
Molecule: ribosomal RNA, 644 nt
Filed under: Leucocelis rubra
Lineage: Eukaryota; Metazoa; Arthropoda; Insecta; Coleoptera; Scarabaeidae
Description: LSU rRNA
Rfam family: Eukaryotic large subunit ribosomal RNA
Source: RNAcentral